CGGACGGGUGAGUAAUGUAUGGGGAUCUGCCUGAUGGCGGGGGAUAACUACUGGAAACGGUAGCUAAUACCGCAUAAUGUCUACGGACCAAAGCGGGGGACCUUCGGGCCUCGCGCCAUCAGAUGAACCCAUAUGGGAUUAGCUUGUAGGUGAGGUAACGGCUUACCUAGGCGACGAUCCCUAGCUGGUCUGAGAGGAUGACCAGCCACACUGGAACUGAGACACGGUCCAG
Molecule: ribosomal RNA, 232 nt
Filed under: uncultured bacterium
Lineage: Bacteria
Description: partial 16S ribosomal RNA
Rfam family: Bacterial small subunit ribosomal RNA
Source: RNAcentral